RNAcentral lists this ribosomal RNA (205 nucleotides) under uncultured bacterium. RNAcentral describes it as "partial 16S ribosomal RNA". The record is from RNAcentral.
UUUUAGAUUUGCCCCCGCCUUCCCCGUUUCCUCCCCUUGUCACCGCCCAUUUAACAACUGUGUAACCCCCGGGCUAAAGGGCCAUAGGACUUUAACUCAUCCCCCACCUUCCCCCCGUUUAUCCCCGGCAGUCCCCCUAAAAUGCCCCACUAAAUGAGGGGAAAAAAAGAGAAAGGGGGUGCCCCUUUUGGGGAUUUAACCCCAA